Cavia porcellus (domestic guinea pig) is the source of this 2162-nucleotide long non-coding RNA. RefSeq lists it as uncharacterized. The transcript is spliced from 3 exons. The record is from RefSeq and is a predicted model, not a curated record. NCBI's taxonomy places the organism in Eukaryota, Metazoa, Chordata, Mammalia, Rodentia, Caviidae.
GGCUGCGGAAGGACCACGUGGCGUGCUCAGAUCGGCGGCAACGAGGACCGGGGGAGCAGCGCUGGUGGAGCGUUUGCCUGGCAGGCCCGGGACUGGGUUCCAUUCCCAGCACGGAAAAGAAAAAGAAAUGGGUGUCUUACAGAAGACGUAGGUUAUAGGAAGCAAGGGGAUCGAUGUUUUGGGAAACGGACAUAAAAAAGGUGUGCUCUACAGGGCUGGGGACAUAGCUCAGUGACACAAGUGCCUCCCUGGCAAGCAUAAGGUCCUGAGGUCAAUUUCUGGUACCCAAAAAAGGAAAAAAAAAAGAUGCGCCGUAUGCCCAGCCCCCCAGGGCGGUGACUCCUCGUACUGAGCACUGCGGACAGGUGCUAUAGAAGCAAGUGAGGAGGAUGCGUGCUUUUCCGAGCCGCGGUCUGGAAGUUUGGAGUCCAGGUUUCUCCGUCACAAAGCGAGAGCCGGGCUUUCCGCUUCUCGCUUCUGGGCAGCUGCACCAGCAGACCCGCCCUGCAGCCGGGCUCCCCGCACCCCACUAGCGGCAGCGCGGGCCACGCCCUCUCCACUGUAGGGGCGUGGCAGCCCCGCCCCUGCGCUAGGCCUGGGGGCCUGGGGUGGGGGGAGGGAUCGCUGCCCGCGUGGAGACCCCUAGAAGACCCCGAAGCAGAAGAAAUCCCGCGUUCCAGGCAGGGUGGGAGGCCACGGUCUCAGGUACCCAAACCUGGAGCCUGGGGUGCGCUGUGGAUGGAGGGGGCCUGGCCGGCCGGCGGAGUAACAAAGUAACAGUCAGGAUCACAACAACAGAGCUUGUUUAUCUCAGUCUGGCUCCUGCAGGGCGCAGGGGGCAGGGUCCUCUCCCCCGGCCAGGUCAGCGAGCGGGUCCGUCCUGCCUGAUGCGCGCCGCGCUGUGUGCCGUCUCUACCCUCUCGGGUUCUCAUCUGCGAAGCAGCCCUGCCUGCAGCGGAGGCCAAGAGAAGGCUCCGGGGUCAGCCCUGCGCCCGGUCCCUGCCCCUCUGGCCUCUUCCAUCUCACGGUCCCUUUCCAGCGCCUCCAAAUUCCACGCCCUCAGAAUCCUGCGCCUGGCUCUCCCUGACACCUGCUGGUAGCCUCGGGAUGUCCCCGAUCAGGAGUGGUAAGCCCCAAACCGGGGCCUUCCUGCCAACGUCCGAGACUCAGAGAGAAGGUGACUCUGGUCUCACGGUCUGGAAAGACCCGCUGAGGAUGAGGAGGGUCGCCCUGGGUCUGGAGGCAGCCACGCAGAACCGGGCACAUAGUACCUGUGAGGAGCCUCAGGAGGCCCGCACAGGUGGGACAGGAUGCCGGACCCCAUUUUACAGGGAGAAACUCUGUCUCCCCCAGGGCUGUGGUCAGGACAGAGGCUUUGCAGGUCCCAGUGUGGCAGCUGGUAAGCACAGAGUGGGCACCGGGAGCGGUAGGUUAGGAAUGGUUCAUCACAGCCCUUGGGCAGGCCGAGGCAGGAGGGUCACAGGUUCAAGCCCAGCCUGGACAGUUUAGCGACUUAGCGAGACCCUGUAAAAGGGUGGGCCCGGGCUGGGGAUGUGGCUCCCUGCUGAACUUGGGAGGGCAGGGAAGGGCUGUGUGGCCUGUGGCAUCCAGGCUGCGUGACAGCUGCUGACAAUGCCUAGUCCCCAGAGUGACCAAAACGGGGUGAAGUGAGGCCAGUGGCCCAGGCUCAGUGUCCUGUACACUGUGGGAUACAGCAGAGUUCUGGGUCCCCAGUGGUUGGCAUCAGCCACUUUUCUCAGCCUCAGGGAUCCCUUUGGGGACAGGACUCUGUGGUGCUGAUUUUCAUUUGUGGAGACAGUACUGUGCUAAGUUGCCCAGACUGGCUUCAAACCUGGGACUCCUUGCCUAUGCGCCCAGGCUCCUGCCCAGAGCCUGACACCCUGAGGCUCUGACCCCACCCCCUGCACUGACUAGCCACAGAUCCCGCCCAGCCCACACUGGGCCACCCGCCUCCCCCAGCCUGGCCCUCUCCACUGAGGGGAUUCCUACUCCCUGCUCAGACCAGAGCUCUGGGAGCUGCCUCCUGGGGGAUGGUGUGGUGUCUCCCCAGCCCUUUGUUAAGUUUCCUGUUGAGGUUCCUUGGAAUCCUCCUGCCUCAGCCUCUCAGAGUUCUGGGACCACAGCCCCGAACCCAUCCUUGA